Small nucleolar RNA from Pungitius pungitius (ninespine stickleback), 140 nucleotides. RefSeq annotates it as small nucleolar RNA SNORD10. The transcript has a single exon. NCBI's taxonomy places the organism in Eukaryota, Metazoa, Chordata, Actinopteri, Perciformes, Gasterosteidae. The record is from RefSeq and is a predicted model, not a curated record.
GUAUAAUGAUGAAAAACAUGCGUGUCAGCUGACUCUGUAAACCUCUGCUGUGUUGUUGCUUAGGUCAGCGUUUUGUUGACCCAAGUCUUCAGGGCAGCAGAGCUACAGAGACAUGAUCAUAUUUCACUACUUCUGAAUAC